This 253-nucleotide ribosomal RNA is filed under the name uncultured bacterium. RNAcentral's name for it is "partial 16S ribosomal RNA". It matches the Rfam family "Bacterial small subunit ribosomal RNA", at positions 524 to 776 of the family's 1533-position model. The record is from RNAcentral.
UACAGAGGUGGCAAGCGUUGUUCGGAAUUACUGGGCGGAAAGGGCGAGUAGGUGGCUAUCUAAGUCAGACGUGAAAUCCCCCGGCUUAACCUGGGAACUGCGUCUGAUACUGGACGGCUUGAGUAUGGGAGAGGAACGUAGAAUUCCAGGUGUAGCGGUGAAAUGCGUAGAUAUCUGGAGGAAUACCGGUGGCGAAGGCGGCAUCCUGGACCGAGAUUGACGCUGAGGAGCGAAAGCUAGGGGAGCAAACGGG